This 2895-nucleotide ribosomal RNA is filed under the name Escherichia coli. Its description in RNAcentral is "partial 23S ribosomal RNA". It matches the Rfam family "Bacterial large subunit ribosomal RNA". Lineage: Bacteria; Pseudomonadati; Pseudomonadota; Gammaproteobacteria; Enterobacterales; Enterobacteriaceae. The record is from RNAcentral.
GUUAAGCGACUAAGCGUACACGGUGGAUGCCCUGGCAGUCAGAGGCGAUGAAGGACGUGCUAAUCUGCGAUAAGCGUCGGUGAGGUGAUAUGAACCGUUAUAACCGGCGAUUUCCGAAUGGGGAAACCCAGUGUGUUUCGACACACUAUCAUUAACUGAAUCCAUAGGUUAAUGAGGCGAACCGGGGGAACUGAAACAUCUAAGUACCCCGAGGAAAAGAAAUCAACCGAGAUUCCCCCAGUAGCGGCGAGCGAACGGGGAGGAGCCCAGAGCCUGAAUCAGUGUGUGUGUUAGUGGAAGCGUCUGGAAAGGCGCGCGAUACAGGGUGACAGCCCCGUACACAAAAAUGCACAUAUUGUGAGCUCGAUGAGUAGGGCGGGACACGUGGUAUCCUGUCUGAAUAUGGGGGGACCAUCCUCCAAGGCUAAAUACUCCUGACUGACCGAUAGUGAACCAGUACCGUGAGGGAAAGGCGAAAAGAACCCCGGCGAGGGGAGUGAAAAAGAACCUGAAACCGUGUACGUACAAGCAGUGGGAGCCUCUUAAUGGGGUGACUGCGUACCUUUUGUAUAAUGGGUCAGCGACUUAUAUUCUGUAGCAAGGUUAACCGAAUAGGGGAGCCGAAGGGAAACCGAGUCUUAACUGGGCGUUAAGUUGCAGGGUAUAGACCCGAAACCCGGUGAUCUAGCCAUGGGCAGGUUGAAGGUUGGGUAACACUAACUGGAGGACCGAACCGACUAAUGUUGAAAAAUUAGCGGAUGACUUGUGGCUGGGGGUGAAAGGCCAAUCAAACCGGGAGAUAGCUGGUUCUCCCCGAAAGCUAUUUAGGUAGCGCCUCGUGAAUUCAUCUCCGGGGGUAGAGCACUGUUUCGGCAAGGGGGUCAUCCCGACUUACCAACCCGAUGCAAACUGCGAAUACCGGAGAAUGUUAUCACGGGAGACACACGGCGGGUGCUAACGUCCGUCGUGAAGAGGGAAACAACCCAGACCGCCAGCUAAGGUCCCAAAGUCAUGGUUAAGUGGGAAACGAUGUGGGAAGGCCCAGACAGCCAGGAUGUUGGCUUAGAAGCAGCCAUCAUUUAAAGAAAGCGUAAUAGCUCACUGGUCGAGUCGGCCUGCGCGGAAGAUGUAACGGGGCUAAACCAUGCACCGAAGCUGCGGCAGCGACGCUUAUGCGUUGUUGGGUAGGGGAGCGUUCUGUAAGCCUGCGAAGGUGUGCUGUGAGGCAUGCUGGAGGUAUCAGAAGUGCGAAUGCUGACAUAAGUAACGAUAAAGCGGGUGAAAAGCCCGCUCGCCGGAAGACCAAGGGUUCCUGUCCAACGUUAAUCGGGGCAGGGUGAGUCGACCCCUAAGGCGAGGCCGAAAGGCGUAGUCGAUGGGAAACAGGUUAAUAUUCCUGUACUUGGUGUUACUGCGAAGGGGGGACGGAGAAGGCUAUGUUGGCCGGGCGACGGUUGUCCCGGUUUAAGCGUGUAGGCUGGUUUUCCAGGCAAAUCCGGAAAAUCAAGGCUGAGGCGUGAUGACGAGGCACUACGGUGCUGAAGCAACAAAUGCCCUGCUUCCAGGAAAAGCCUCUAAGCAUCAGGUAACAUCAAAUCGUACCCCAAACCGACACAGGUGGUCAGGUAGAGAAUACCAAGGCGCUUGAGAGAACUCGGGUGAAGGAACUAGGCAAAAUGGUGCCGUAACUUCGGGAGAAGGCACGCUGAUAUGUAGGUGAAGCGACUUGCUCGUGGAGCUGAAAUCAGUCGAAGAUACCAGCUGGCUGCAACUGUUUAUUAAAAACACAGCACUGUGCAAACACGAAAGUGGACGUAUACGGUGUGACGCCUGCCCGGUGCCGGAAGGUUAAUUGAUGGGGUUAGCGGUAACGCGAAGCUCUUGAUCGAAGCCCCGGUAAACGGCGGCCGUAACUAUAACGGUCCUAAGGUAGCGAAAUUCCUUGUCGGGUAAGUUCCGACCUGCACGAAUGGCGUAAUGAUGGCCAGGCUGUCUCCACCCGAGACUCAGUGAAAUUGAACUCGCUGUGAAGAUGCAGUGUACCCGCGGCAAGACGGAAAGACCCCGUGAACCUUUACUAUAGCUUGACACUGAACAUUGAGCCUUGAUGUGUAGGAUAGGUGGGAGGCUUUGAAGUGUGGACGCCAGUCUGCAUGGAGCCGACCUUGAAAUACCACCCUUUAAUGUUUGAUGUUCUAACGUUGGCCCGUAAUCCGGGUUGCGGACAGUGUCUGGUGGGUAGUUUGACUGGGGCGGUCUCCUCCUAAAGAGUAACGGAGGAGCACGAAGGUUGGCUAAUCCUGGUCGGACAUCAGGAGGUUAGUGCAAUGGCAUAAGCCAGCUUGACUGCGAGCGUGACGGCGCGAGCAGGUGCGAAAGCAGGUCAUAGUGAUCCGGUGGUUCUGAAUGGAAGGGCCAUCGCUCAACGGAUAAAAGGUACUCCGGGGAUAACAGGCUGAUACCGCCCAAGAGUUCAUAUCGACGGCGGUGUUUGGCACCUCGAUGUCGGCUCAUCACAUCCUGGGGCUGAAGUAGGUCCCAAGGGUAUGGCUGUUCGCCAUUUAAAGUGGUACGCGAGCUGGGUUUAGAACGUCGUGAGACAGUUCGGUCCCUAUCUGCCGUGGGCGCUGGAGAACUGAGGGGGGCUGCUCCUAGUACGAGAGGACCGGAGUGGACGCAUCACUGGUGUUCGGGUUGUCAUGCCAAUGGCACUGCCCGGUAGCUAAAUGCGGAAGAGAUAAGUGCUGAAAGCAUCUAAGCACGAAACUUGCCCCGAGAUGAGUUCUCCCUGAGACUUUAAGUCUCCUGAAGGAACGUUGAAGACGACGACGUUGAUAGGCCGGGUGUGUAAGCGCAGCGAUGCGUUGAGCUAACCGGUACUAAUGAACCGUGAGG